AUGAAAAUCAGAGUAAGUCUCAAAAAGUUUCGAAUUAUCUUAUUCCCAUCGCUAGAUACGGUGUACGUUACAAUGAUACGCAGACGUGGUAAGCAGGAAGUGGCAUCCGGUCGGUACAUCACGAUACCCAUUUCACACGUCGUUCUCUAUUUCGCAGUGACCAACGGCCACGUUGUCUGCAUGCCGUUCAAUUGAACCGGCGGCAUCUACGGGUAAAUCGUCUGUCUCGUUAUCGUUCCGUUAAAGUAUUACAAUGCCAAUCCUCCAUUGUCAUCAUAAGACUUCCACGCAUUCAUCUUUGGAGUCUUGUACGUGGUUCUACCCGUAUGUUUUCCAUUCAUCGUUACGGAUCUUCAUUGAUGUUAAUUGUUGAUACGAAGAGAAAAGUGAAAUCGUUGUACGCGCAAGGUCGACUUCGAGGCAAGCAAGUAUAAAAUACCAACACGUUUACCUUCCGAUUGACCGUGUUCUUUCAAGUACAAAAUGCAUGAAGAUAAUGUAUAAGAAGGUCAUAAAAAUCUGAUGUAUAAUAAAAAUUUGAUUAGAAUUCGAUAAAUUUGAUUGUUUUAUUGAUAGUAGAAAUUUAAAAUGUCUAUUAUGAUCAAAAAUAAAUAAACAAUUCUACUAUUGAUGUAUUUAACA
This is a long non-coding RNA of Apis florea (little honeybee), 642 nucleotides long. The record is from RefSeq and is a predicted model, not a curated record. NCBI's taxonomy places the organism in Eukaryota, Metazoa, Arthropoda, Insecta, Hymenoptera, Apidae.